CUACGGGUGGCAGCAGUGGGGAAUAUUGGACAAUGGGGGAAACCCUGAUCCAGCAAUGCCGCGUGUGUGAAGAAGGCCUGCGGGUUGUAAAGCACUUUCGGUUGGGAGGACUGCUUCUAGCACUAAUAUUGUUGGAAGUUGACGUUACCUUCAGAAGAAGCACCGGCUAACUCCGUGCCAGCAGCCGCGGUAAUACGGAGGGUGCACGGCGUUAAUCGGAAUUACUGGGCGUAAAGCGCGCGUAGGCGGCUAGAUCAGUCGGGUGUGAAAGCCCCGGGCUUAACCUGGGAACUGCAUCCGAUACUGUCUAGCUUGAGUACAGGAGAGGAGAGUGGAAUUCCACAUGUAGCGGUGAAAUGCGUAGAUAUGUGGAGGAACACCAAUGGCGAAGGCAGCUCUCUGGCCUGAUACUGACGCUGAGGUGCGAAAGCGUGGGGAGCAAACAGGAUUAGAUACCCGAGUAGUC
This 466-nucleotide ribosomal RNA is filed under the name uncultured bacterium. RNAcentral describes it as "partial 16S ribosomal RNA". It matches the Rfam family "Bacterial small subunit ribosomal RNA", at positions 339 to 795 of the family's 1533-position model. The record is from RNAcentral.